CCAGAAGGGAGAACGAACGAACGAACGAACGAACGAGUAUUCAAGGGGGAGUGGGAACUGACUGUAAUAAGUGACGAUGGGGACGACGGCGAUGGCGACGACGCAAGCCUACGGGGAGCCAUGGUACUGGGACAAGCGCUACUCCGGCGAAUGGGGGCCGUUCGAUUGGUACCAGAAGUACCCCUCCCUCGCCCCUCUCGUCAACCUCUACAUCCCCCGCCACCGCACCAAGGUCCUCGUCGUCGGCUGCGGCAACUCAGCUUUUAGUGAGGGCAUGGUGGAAGAUGGAUACGAGGAAGUGAUCAACAUCGAUGUAUCGUCUGUCGUCAUUGAAGCCAUGAGGAAGAAAUACUCUGAUUGUCCCCAGCUCAAAUAUAUGAAGAUGGAUGUUCGAGAUAUGCACGCUUUUCAGUCAGGUUGCUUUGAUGCUGUUCUGGAUAAAGGAACUCUGGAUUCCUUGCUCUGCGGAAGCAAUUCCCGGCAAAAUGCUGCUAAGAUGCUUGAGGAAGUAGCAAGUAUUUCUUCAUUUGUUCACCACAUAUUGAAGCAGUUGAUGACCCACUAUAGGGUUCUCAAGGACAGAGGAAUUUACAUCCUGUUUAAUACUGCUUGUAACUCGGGAUGCACAGAUUACAUAUGGAGCACCGAGUUAUCGUCUCCAUCUGCUCAGAGAUAUGAACAUCUGGACGAUAAAGCUCCAUGUGAUAGAGAAACUUGUCGUGGAAGGAAAGUCAGACAAGCCACUACGGAAGCUGACUGAUCCCAUUCCACUGGACAAUAAUGGAAGUUCCAUGGAAGACUUGCUUGGGAAAAACCCUGAUGUCCACUACAUAUAUGUCUGUACAAAGGUUGGCUCGACAGGCAGCAGCCAGAGCUGCGAAAGUGAAGUUGUAUGAUGAGAAUGAGAGGACCUACCGCUAUUCUUUCCAUGUACUUCACAUAUCCCACGUGUUUUGAGGAUUAUUUAUGAAUCUGAAUGAUAUUUGAUAGAUCUAAUGUUAGCCACUAAUUACAUUUCUAUGGUCUUGGCAGUGUCCUGUUUAUCAUACUGUAACCAAAUCACCACGUUGUAUUUCGAAAUCAAUUACUGA
This is a non-coding RNA of Punica granatum (pomegranate), 1091 nucleotides long. The record is from RefSeq and is a predicted model, not a curated record. NCBI's taxonomy places the organism in Eukaryota, Viridiplantae, Streptophyta, Magnoliopsida, Myrtales, Lythraceae.